ACGUAGGAGACGAGCGUUAUCCGGAUUUACUGGGCGUAAAGAGCGUGUAGGAGGCGCUACAAGUUGGAUGUAAAAGCUCCCGGCUUAACUGGGAGAGGUCGUUCAAGACUGUAGAGCUAGAGUAAGGCAGAGGUAGAUGGAACUCCGGGAGUAGUGGUGAAAUGCGUAGAUAUCCGGAAGAACACCAGAGGCGAAAGCGAUCUACUGGACCUUAACUGACACUGAGACGCGAAAGCCAGGGUAGCAAACGG
Molecule: ribosomal RNA, 251 nt
Filed under: uncultured prokaryote
Description: partial 16S rRNA
Rfam family: Bacterial small subunit ribosomal RNA
Source: RNAcentral